Molecule: ribosomal RNA, 253 nt
Filed under: uncultured bacterium
Lineage: Bacteria
Description: partial 16S ribosomal RNA
Rfam family: Bacterial small subunit ribosomal RNA
Source: RNAcentral
UACGAAGGGGGCUAGCGUUGCUCGGAAUUACUGGGCGUAAAGGGCGCGUAGGCGGCUCUGUUAGUCAGGCGUGAAAGCCCUGGGCUCAACCUGGGGACUGCGCUUGAUACGGCGGGGCUUGAGGGCAGGAGAGGCUCGCGGAAUUCCCAGUGUAGAGGUGAAAUUCGUAGAUAUUGGGAAGAACACCAGUGGCGAAGGCGGCUCACUGGCCCGGUACUGACGCUGAGGCGCGAAAGCGUGGGGAGCAAACAGG